AAAAUAAGUGUGACUUUAGAUCUUUUAAAUGCUUUCUAUAUAAAUAAUUUCACAAGUCCAACAAAAUACAAUAUGGGAUUAAGUUUCCAGACAAUAUUUAAACCUACCUAUCCAAGACCCUCCGUGAACUUCAAGUAGACAAAAGCUACCACAGAGGUCUGUGGUCUGCAUGAGGCUGAAACACCUGAUGUGUCUUCUGCUGUACCCACAGUCCGGAGUGCAGAGGCACAGGAUCUUCCUCCCUGAGGAGACACAAGGCACAAUCCCUGAGACACA
Molecule: long non-coding RNA, 276 nt
Filed under: Mustela putorius furo (domestic ferret)
Lineage: Eukaryota; Metazoa; Chordata; Mammalia; Carnivora; Mustelidae
Description: lncRNA (ENSMPUG00000031379.1)
Source: RNAcentral